This is a non-coding RNA of Kordiimonas lacus, 97 nucleotides long. It matches the Rfam family "Bacterial small signal recognition particle RNA". From Rfam's summary of the family: The signal recognition particle (SRP) is a universally conserved ribonucleoprotein involved in the co-translational targeting of proteins to membranes. NCBI's taxonomy places the organism in Bacteria, Pseudomonadati, Pseudomonadota, Alphaproteobacteria, Kordiimonadales, Kordiimonadaceae. The record is from Rfam.
CGGGAGAGCCGGCGGACAUUCCGCUCGCCAACCCGGUCAGGUCCGAAAGGAAGCAGCCGUAACGAGUUUGGCAUGGGUCGCAUUGGCCCUCCCACCC